RNAcentral lists this ribosomal RNA (510 nucleotides) under uncultured bacterium. Its description in RNAcentral is "partial 16S ribosomal RNA". It matches the Rfam family "Bacterial small subunit ribosomal RNA", at positions 28 to 507 of the family's 1533-position model. The record is from RNAcentral.
GACGAACGCUGGCGGCGUGCUUAACACAUGCAAGUCGAACGAAGAGCGAUGGAAGCUUGCUUCUAUCAAUCUUAGUGGCGAACGGGUGAGUAACGCGUAAUCAACCUGCCCUUCAGAGGGGGACAACAGUUGGAAACGACUGCUAAUACCGCAUACGAUCUAAUCUCGGCAUCGAGGAUAGAUGAAAGGUGGCCUCUACAUGUAAGCUAUCACUGAAGGAGGGGAUUGCGUCUGAUUAGCUAGUUGGAGGGGUAACGGCCCACCAAGGCGAUGAUCAGUAGCCGGUCUGAGAGGAUGAACGGCCACAGUGGGACUGAGACACGGCCCAGACUCCUACGGGAGGCAGCAGUGGGGAAUCUUCCGCAAUGGACGAAAGUCUGACGGAGCAACGCCGCGGGAGUGAUGACGGCCUUCGGGUUGUAAAGCUCUGUUAAUCGGGACGAAAGGCCUUCUUGCGAAUAGUGAGAAGGAUUGACGGUACCGGAAUAGAAAGCCACGGCUAACUACGUG